GACGAACGCUGGCGGCGUGCCUAAUACAUGCAAGUAGAACGCUGAGGACUGGUGCUUGCACUGGUCUAAGGAGUUGCGAACGGGUGAGUAACGCGUAGGUAACCUACCUCAUAGCGGGGGAUAACUAUUGGAAACGAUAGCUAAUACCGCAUGACAAUAGGGUACACAUGUACCCUAUUUAAAAGGGGCAAAUGCUUCACUAUGAGAUGGACCUGCGUUGUAUUAGCUAGUUGGUAAGGUAACGGCUUACCAAGGCGACGAUACAUAGGGGGACUGAGAGGUUAACCCCCCACAUUGGUACUGAGACACGGACCAA
RNAcentral lists this ribosomal RNA (316 nucleotides) under uncultured bacterium. RNAcentral describes it as "bacterial SSU rRNA". It matches the Rfam family "Bacterial small subunit ribosomal RNA", at positions 28 to 334 of the family's 1533-position model. The record is from RNAcentral.